RNAcentral lists this ribosomal RNA (253 nucleotides) under uncultured bacterium. Its description in RNAcentral is "partial 16S ribosomal RNA". It matches the Rfam family "Bacterial small subunit ribosomal RNA", at positions 524 to 776 of the family's 1533-position model. The record is from RNAcentral.
UACGGAGGGUGCAAGCGUUGUCCGGAUUUAUUGGGUUUAAAGGGUGCGUAGGCGGCUUUUUAAGUCAGUGGUGAAAUACAGCAGCUCAACUGUUGAGGUGCCAUUGAUACUGAAGAGCUUGAGUACAGAUGAGGUAGGCGGAAUUUAUGGUGUAGCGGUGAAAUGCAUAGAUACCAUAAAGAACACCGAUUGCGAAGGCAGCUUACUAAGCUGUAACUGACGCUGAGGCACGAAAGCGUGGGGAGCGAACAGG